Molecule: ribosomal RNA, 253 nt
Filed under: uncultured bacterium
Lineage: Bacteria
Description: partial 16S ribosomal RNA
Rfam family: Bacterial small subunit ribosomal RNA
Source: RNAcentral
UACGGGGGGGGUAAGCGUUGUUCGGAAUUACUGGGCGUAAAGGGCUCGUAGGCGGCCAACUAAGUCAUACGUGAAAUCCCUCAGCUUAACUGGGGAACUGCGUGUGAUACUGGAUGGCUUGGAUUUGGGAGAGGGAUGCGGAAUUCCAGGUGUAGCGGUGAAAUGCGUAGAUAUUGGGAGGAACACCAGUGGCGAAGGCGGCUCACUGGACCGGAACUGACGCUGAGGCGCGAAAGCGUGGGGAGCAAACAGG